GUUCAUUGCAUAAACCAAAUAAUCAUUCUGUUUUUGUUUGUCAACGUCUAUGGAAUUUUCCCUUGUCUAGGUCUACUCUGUCAAGAAAUAUGUUUUAUUAAAAUCCAAGUGCUUUUUGACCAAUCAGAUUAGAAUUUAGGAUUAGGUUAGGCCAAUCUUUUUACAUACUACAGUUUAAAGUUAGACUUUAGCAAAGAAUUUUCUUUUCUUUUCUUUU
Molecule: unclassified non-coding RNA, 217 nt
Filed under: Hevea brasiliensis (rubber tree)
Lineage: Eukaryota; Viridiplantae; Streptophyta; Magnoliopsida; Malpighiales; Euphorbiaceae
Source: RNAcentral